RNAcentral lists this ribosomal RNA (1436 nucleotides) under uncultured organism. RNAcentral describes it as "16S ribosomal RNA". It matches the Rfam family "Bacterial small subunit ribosomal RNA". The record is from RNAcentral.
CAGGCUUAACACAUGCAAGUCGAGGGGCAGCAUGGUCUUAGCUUGCUAAGGCCGAUGGCGACCGGCGCACGGGUGAGUAACGCGUAUCCAACCUGCCUUACACUCUUGGACAGCCUUCUGAAAGGGAGGUUAAUACAAGAUGUUAUCAUGAGUAAGCAUUUUCGCAUGAUUAAAGGUUUACCGGUGUAAGAUGGGGAUGCGUUCCAUUAGAUAGUAGGCGGGGUAACGGCCCACCUAGUCUUCGAUGGAUAGGGGUUCUGAGAGGAAGGUCCCCCACAUUGGAACUGAGACACGGUCCAAACUCCUACGGGAGGCAGCAGUGAGGAAUAUUGGUCAAUGGACGAGAGUCUGAACCAGCCAAGUAGCGUGAAGGAUGAAGGUUCUAUGGAUUGUAAACUUCUUUUAUACGGGAAUAAACGAAUCCACGUGUGGAUUUUUGCAUGUACCGUAUGAAUAAGGAUCGGCUAACUCCGUGCCAGCAGCCGCGGUAAUACGGAGGAUCCGAGCGUUAUCCGGAUUUAUUGGGUUUAAAGGGAGCGUAGAUGGGUUGUUAAGUCAGUUGUGAAAGUUUGCGGCUCAACCGUAAAAUUGCAAUUGAUACUGGCAGUCUUGAGUACAGUUGAGGUAGGCGGAAUUCGUGGUGUAGCGGUGAAAUGCUUAGAUAUCACGAAGAACUCCGAUUGCGAAGGCAGCUUACUAACCUGUAACUGACAUUGAUGCUCGAAAGUGUGGGUAUCAAACAGGAUUAGAUACCCUGGUAGUCCACACGGUAAACGAUGAAUACUCGCUGUAGGCGAUAUACAGUCUGCGGCCAAGCGAAAGCAUUAAGUAUUCCACCUGGGGAGUACGCCGGCAACGGUGAAACUCAAAGGAAUUGACGGGGGCCCGCACAAGCGGAGGAACAUGUGGUUUAAUUCGAUGAUACGCGAGGAACCUUACCCGGGCUUAAAUUGCAACCGAAUAUGGCGGAAACGCUAUAGCUAGCAAUAGCGGUUGUGAAGGUGCUGCAUGGUUGUCGUCAGCUCGUGCCGUGAGGUGUCGGCUUAAGUGCCAUAACGAGCGCAACCCUUGCCGAUAGUUACUAACAGGUCAUGCUGAGGACUCUGUCGGGACUGCCAUCGUAAGAUGUGAGGAAGGUGGGGAUGACGUCAAAUCAGCACGGCCCUUACGUCCGGGGCUACACACGUGUUACAAUGGGGGGUACAGAGGGCUGCUACCACGCAAGUGGAUGCCAAUCCCAAAAACCUCUCUCAGUUCGGAUUGAAGUCUGCAACCCGACUUCAUGAAGCUGGAUUCGCUAGUAAUCGCGCAUCAGCCACGGCGCGGUGAAUACGUUCCCGGGCCUUGUACACACCGCCCGUCAAGCCAUGGGAGCCGGGGGUACCUGAAGUGCGUAACCGCAAGGAGCGCCCUAGGGUAAAACUGGUGACUGGGGC